UACGGAGGAUUCAAGCGUUAUCCGGAUUUAUUGGGUUUAAAGGGUGCGUAGGCGGUCGGAUAAGUUAGAGGUGAAAUCCCGAGGCUCAACUUCGGAAUUGCCUCUGAUACUGUUCGGCUAGAGAGUAGUUGCGGUAGGCGGAAUUCCGUGUGUAGCGGUGAAAUGCGUAGAUAUACGGAGGAACACCAGUGGCGAAGGCGGCCUGCUGGACAUUAACUGACGCUGAGGCGCGAAAGCGUGGGGAGCAAACAGG
RNAcentral lists this ribosomal RNA (253 nucleotides) under uncultured bacterium. RNAcentral's name for it is "partial 16S ribosomal RNA". It matches the Rfam family "Bacterial small subunit ribosomal RNA", at positions 524 to 776 of the family's 1533-position model. The record is from RNAcentral.